CGGCGGACGGGUGAGUAACACGUGGGUAACCUGCCUGUAAGACUGGGAUAACUCCGGGAAACCGGGGCUAAUACCGGAUGCUUGAUUGAACCGCAUGGUUCAAACAUAAAAGGUGGCUUUUACCUCCCCCUUCAGAAGGGCCCCCCGGCCCAUUACCUAUUUGGGAAGGUAACGGUCCCCCAAGGCAACAAUCCUAACCCAACCUAAAAGGGGGACCGGCCCCCCGGGAACGAAAAACCGGCCCAAAUCCCUACG
This 255-nucleotide ribosomal RNA is filed under the name Bacillus sp. TK2.4. RNAcentral describes it as "partial 16S ribosomal RNA". It matches the Rfam family "Bacterial small subunit ribosomal RNA", at positions 96 to 343 of the family's 1533-position model. The record is from RNAcentral. Lineage: Bacteria; Bacillati; Bacillota; Bacilli; Caryophanales; Bacillaceae.